CAGCAGCCGCGGUAAUACGUAGGGUGCGAGCGUUAAUCGGAAUUACUGGGCGUAAAGCGUGCGCAGGCGGUGCGUUAAGAGCGAUGUGAAAUCCCCGGGCUUAACCUGGGAACUGCAUUGUUGACUGGCGCGCUAGAGUAUGGCAGAGGGGGGUAGAAUUCCACGUGUAGCAGUGAAAUGCGUAGAGAUGUGGAGGAAUACCGAUGGCGAAGGCAGCCCCCUGGGCCAAUACUGACGCUCAUGCACGAAAGCGUGGGGAGCAAACAGGAUUAGAUACCCUGGUAGUCCACGCCCUAAACGAUGUCAACUAGUUGUUGGGGAUUCAUUUCCUUAGUAACGAAGCUAACGCGUGAAGUUGACCGCCUGGGGAGUACGGUCGCAAGAUUAAAACUCAAAGGAAUUGAC
This 405-nucleotide ribosomal RNA is filed under the name uncultured Burkholderia sp. Its description in RNAcentral is "bacterial SSU rRNA". It matches the Rfam family "Bacterial small subunit ribosomal RNA", at positions 509 to 914 of the family's 1533-position model. The record is from RNAcentral. Lineage: Bacteria; Pseudomonadati; Pseudomonadota; Betaproteobacteria; Burkholderiales; Burkholderiaceae.